Molecule: ribosomal RNA, 346 nt
Filed under: uncultured bacterium
Lineage: Bacteria
Description: partial 16S ribosomal RNA
Rfam family: Bacterial small subunit ribosomal RNA
Source: RNAcentral
CCUACGGGUGGCAGCAGUGAGGAAUAUUGGUCAAUGGGCGCGAGCCUGAACCAGCCAAGUAGCGUGAAGGAUGACUGCCCUACGGAUUGUAAACUUCGGUUAUAAAGGAAUAAAGUGAGGCACGUGUGCCUUUUUGUAUGUACGUUAUGAAUAAGGAUCGGCUAACUCCGUGCCAGCAGCCGCGGUAAUACGGAGGAUCCGAGCGUUAUCCGGAUUGAUUGGGUUUAAAGGGAGCGUAGAGGGGUUGUUAAGUCCGUUGUGAAAGUUUGCGGCUCAACCGUAAAAUUGCAAUUGUUACUGGCAGCCUUGCGUACAGUUGCGGUCGGCGGACUUCGUGGUGUAGCGG